UCAAACUUGGUCAUUUAGAGGAAGUAAAAGUCGUAACAAGGUCUCCGUUGGUGAACCAGCGGAGGGAUCAUUAUCGAGUUUAUACAACUCCCAACCCUAUGUGAACCUACCUACAUGUUGCUUCGGCGGUGCCGCGCCAGGUCUGCUCCCCUUGGGAGCUCCUGGGACAACGCGCCCGCCGGAGACCACAAACUCUUGAUUUUGCGAAAGCAGUAUUCUUCUGAGUGGCCGAAAGGCAAAAAAACAAAUGAAUCAAAACUUUCAACAACGGAUCUCUUGGUUCUGGCAUCGAUGAAGAACGCAGC
This 305-nucleotide unclassified non-coding RNA is filed under the name uncultured fungus. Its description in RNAcentral is "partial contains small subunit ribosomal RNA, internal transcribed spacer 1, and 5.8S ribosomal RNA". The stretch from base 1 to 73 matches the Rfam family "Eukaryotic small subunit ribosomal RNA", at positions 1759 to 1831 of the family's 1831-position model. The record is from RNAcentral. Lineage: Eukaryota; Fungi.